CUUCGAUAUAGAACAUUUCUCAUCUCGUAGAAGAAGAAUGAGUACCACAUAUUGAUUCUACAAAGCUCUUCCAGGAAAUUUCACUCAGAUUUUAUUGGCCAGAGCAGGUUACAAGAGCAUGCCUAACAACAGGUUUCCUGCCAAGGAAAGAGAUAUUCACCCAUUGUAAACCAUUAAAUGAAUUCUCUACUACGAGUGAGCACCUUGAGAGCUGGACAAGACAAGGACAAACAGUUUGAGUGACAUGCACCUGCCCCACAGAAAGACGGAGUGUCAAGUACG
Molecule: long non-coding RNA, 282 nt
Filed under: Homo sapiens (human)
Lineage: Eukaryota; Metazoa; Chordata; Mammalia; Primates; Hominidae
Description: HSALNT0174469
Source: RNAcentral